AAAGCUGUGUGGAUACUGGCUCUUCUGUGUCUGCAGGUCUGUCUGCUCUCCACAGAGGCCCAACCUGGAACAGACAGACUGACAGCUGCCCAAACCAACCAAGACAUGUCAGACCAAGGAGAUUCUCCAGUACUUCCUCCUCAUCAACCUCGUCCAUUUCCUUCAACUCUGGAUUCAAGGAUUAAAAGAGAGGGGAGGGACCAGAGUGAACGCCAGAAGAAGCCUAACAACUACCCAGGAGUGGGGAGUCCUGUGGGAAGAGGCAACCAAUCACAAACAGAAACAUCCAAAGAGUUUGUAUAGAAAACAAAGCUUGAGGAAAGGAUCGUCUUUACAUGCAUAUAUACCACAUCGUAAUCUGAGGGGGGCCUGUAAGGACAGCUUGCACCCCGGCCCGGCAGCACCACGCUACACCAGUACAUCCACUGUAUUUGUGACAACUGUGCCCUCUGCUGCUUCACCUCCCCCUGCAGCAGACAGACUCCAGCGUUCGACGUCACCGGCCUUCUGACACCACCGUCCAUCUCAUCAUGCAUUUCACCUGUGUCUUGUUUAGCGCACCUGGUUCUCAUCCUCAUCAUUCCCCCCAGUAUAUAUGUUCCCUCUGCUCCCCCUGUCUAUGUGUGUAAUUGUCUCUGUGUUACAAAGAGCAGUGUUGCGCUUCGCAUAUAUCACUCGAUUAUUAAAAGAUUCUACAAAAGUAUUACGCCGUUCUCCUGCUCCUCCUUGUUCCGCCCCGAAGACGUGACAGUGUUUGAAUAUCUAUUGUGGCAGGUGACGGGGAGUGGUGAGGGGAGUGGUGAGGGGAGUGGUGACGGGGAGUGGUGAGGGGACUGGUGAGGGGAGUGGUCAGGGGAGUGGUGAGGGGAGUGGUGAUUGAGAGAAGAUAUCGGAUGGUCACAAUAACACAAUACAACUGGCUCUGUGAACACUCACAAUAACACAAUACAACUGGCUCUGUGAACAAUAUACUUGAAAACAUUUUGCAAAGUUCCAGAAGGAAGAUCUUCACCAACAGAUUAUCAAUAUUCAGCUGUUUUCACACACAUUUCUGUUUCAUUUAAUCUUUUUGCAAAGCAAAAUUGUCAUCAUGUAAUCAUUUUAAGUUAACUGAAAGACAGAGAAAUAGAGACCGUGAACGUAAGAAAGAUAAAGAGAGAUAGAAAGAGACUCAGAAAGAGGCAGUGAGAAAGGAAGUGAGUGAAAUUCAGGCGUGUCUCUGUGAUUUAGGUAUAAAGAGUGCUGAGUGUGUAGUCAGGGUCCAGUACAUCAGUAUGGAGAAAGCUGUGUGGCUACUGGCUCUUCUGUGUCUGCAGGUCUGUCUGCUCUCCACAGAGGCCCAACCUGGAACAGACAGACUUACAGCUGCCCAAACCAACCAAGACAUGGAUUUAAGGAUUAAAAAUGGGAUGAGUGUCCGGAUUAAACGCCAGAAGAAUCCCUCAAAAUAUCGCACCCGCCCAGGAUCGUUGUCUGCUCCGGUAAGAGACAACUAAACACACUCAUGAACAUCCAAAGAAGUUGUAUAGGAAACAAAGCUUGAGGAAAUGUGCUCAUUAAAAUGUCUUGAUGACAUCACGGAUUAAAGUGUCAUUAAAUGAAAACUGUUAUUUUCUUUGUCACAACAUUAUGUAGGGACUCGUUGGUCCUUCUUCUCGUGAUCAUCCUCAUCUGUUUCCUCCAACUCAGGUGACGGGGAGUGGUGAGGGGAGUGGUGAUUGAGAGAAGAUAUCUGAUGGCCCACUGGCUCCACCCCCCGAGCCUUAUAUGGACUUCCCCCAGCAGGGGGGAGGGGAAGGUGUGCAGAGCGUGUGUUUCAAUAGCCUUAUCUGUGUGAUUACCUGUUGUGACCUGGACUGUCUGAUUACCCCCCUGUGUACCAAACUGGUUUGGACGAGGACCCGAUUACCUCUGGAAAAAGGACAACAAACUACAAGAACGAAG
Esox lucius (northern pike) is the source of this 1944-nucleotide long non-coding RNA. The record is from Ensembl. NCBI's taxonomy places the organism in Eukaryota, Metazoa, Chordata, Actinopteri, Esociformes, Esocidae.